UACGGAGGGGGCAAGCGUUAUUCGGAAUUAUUGGGCGUAAAGGGCGCGUAGGCGGCUAGAUGUGUCAAAGGUGAAAUCCCUCGGCUCAACUGAGGAACUGCCUUUGAAACUGUCUGGCUUGAGUCCGGGAGAGGGUAGCGGAAUUCCCAGUGUAGCGGUGAAAUGCGUAGAUAUUGGGAGGAACACCAGUGGCGAAAGCGGCUACCUGGACCGGUUCUGACGCUGAGGCGCGAAAGCGUGGGUAGCAAACAGG
Molecule: ribosomal RNA, 253 nt
Filed under: uncultured bacterium
Lineage: Bacteria
Description: partial 16S ribosomal RNA
Rfam family: Bacterial small subunit ribosomal RNA
Source: RNAcentral